RNAcentral lists this transfer-messenger RNA (212 nucleotides) under Gemmatimonadetes bacterium 13_1_40CM_2_70_7. Its description in RNAcentral is "partial transfer-messenger RNA". It matches the Rfam family "transfer-messenger RNA", at positions 1 to 231 of the family's 374-position model. Rfam says of the family: Bacterial tmRNA, also known as 10Sa RNA or SsrA, is named for its dual tRNA and mRNA-like properties. Its role is to liberate the mRNA from a stalled ribosome. To accomplish this part of the tmRNA is used as a reading frame that ends in a translation stop signal. The record is from RNAcentral. Lineage: Bacteria; Pseudomonadati; Gemmatimonadota.
GGGGGCGACAGGUUUCGACGGGUUUGAUGAGGGUGUUGCUGCGUGCCGAGGUCGUCAGUCACCUCGAAAAACAACUGGCACUUUUUAACUGCCAACACUGAGUUGGCCCUGGCUGCGUAAGCUUCGGCUUACGCACCUGCGUGAGUGGCAGCCCGCCUGAGGCGGCGCUCACGUAUCGCAAAGUCGGGCUGGUGUGACCCGGGGCCCGAACG